RNAcentral lists this ribosomal RNA (776 nucleotides) under uncultured Neocallimastigales. RNAcentral's name for it is "partial large subunit ribosomal RNA". It matches the Rfam family "Eukaryotic large subunit ribosomal RNA", at positions 24 to 628 of the family's 3401-position model. The record is from RNAcentral. Lineage: Eukaryota; Fungi; Neocallimastigomycota; Neocallimastigomycetes; Neocallimastigales.
UAUGUGAUCGUCUCUCGCAUAUCAAUAAGCGGAGGAAAAGAAACUAACAAGGAUUCCCCUAGUAACGGCGAGUGAAGCGGGAAGAGCUCAAAUUUGAAAUCUUAAAGGGUUUCCCUUUACGAAUUGUAGUUUAAAGAAGUGUUUUCUGUUGAGGUUUUGGUAAAAGUUCUUUGGAAUAGGACAUCAUAGAGGGUGAGAAUCCCGUAUUUGACCUUUACUUUCAACUUUGUGAUACACUUUCAAAGAGUCGGAUUGUUUGGGAAUGCAGUUCCAAAAUGGGUGGUAAAUUUCAUCUAAAGCUAAAUAUUGGCGAGAGACCGAUAGCGAACAAGUACCGUGAGGGAAAGAUGAAAAGAACUUUGAAAAGAGAGUUAAACAGUACGUGAAAUUGUCAAAAGGGAAGCGUUUGACACCAGUGUUGUUUUUCUGAAAAUCAAUUAAAGAACUGUUUAUGCUAAGUUGUUUAGACUUUAUCAGCUAACUGUUUAGUUUUGAGUUUUUCUUUAAUGCACUUUUCAGUUAACAAGUCAACAUCAAUUUCUUUUGCUGUAAAAAAGCUUGAGGAAGGUGGCUUGAGAUUCGUCUUAAGUGUUUAUAGCCUCUUGCCUAUGCAGUCGGAGAGAUUGAGGUCUGCAGCGUAGACUCCUUCGGGGCUAGAUACAUUUGUGCUAAGUUAUAGCAUUUUAUAGACAACUUGUUGACUAUGAUUUGUCUUGUAGCUUACUCGCUUAUGUUAUUUUACCUACGCUUAGGAUGUUGAGUCGUAGAGCACGCAG